RNAcentral lists this ribosomal RNA (440 nucleotides) under uncultured bacterium. Its description in RNAcentral is "partial 16S ribosomal RNA". It matches the Rfam family "Bacterial small subunit ribosomal RNA", at positions 338 to 795 of the family's 1533-position model. The record is from RNAcentral.
CCUACGGGUGGCAGCAGUGGGGAAUAUUGCACAAUGGGGGAAACCCUGAUGCAGCGACGCCGCGUGAGUGAAGAAGUAUUUCGGUACGUAAAGCUCUAUCAGCAGGGAAGAAAAUGACGGUACCUGACUAAGAAGCCCCGGCUAACUACGUGCCAGCAGCCGCGGUAAUACGUAGGGGGCAGGAGUUAGCCGGAUUUACUGGGUGUAAAGGGAGCGUAGACGGCAGCGCAAGUCUGGAGUGAAAUCCCAUGGCUUAACCAUGGAACUGCUUUGGAAACUGUGCAGCUAGAGUGCAGGAGAGGUAAGCGGAAUUCCUAGUGUAGCGGUGAAAUGCGUAGAUAUUAGGAGGAACACCAGUGGCGAAGGCGGCUUACUGGACUGUAACUGACGUUGAGGCUCGAAAGCGUGGGGAGCAAACAGGAUUAGAUACCCUUGUAGUC